CCUACGGGAGGCAGCAGUGGGGAAUAUUGCACAAUGGGGGAAACCCUGAUGCAGCAAUGCCGCGUGUAUGAAGAAGGAUUUCGGUUUGUAAACUACUAUCAGUAGGGACGAAAAUGACGGUAACCAACUAAGAAGCCCCGGCUAACUACGUGCCAGCAGCCGCGGUAAUACGUAGGGAGCAAGCGUUAUCCGGAUUUACUGGGUGUAACGGUUACGUAGGCGGUUGAGCAAGUCAGACGUGAAAGCCCGGGGCUCAACCCGGGGAUUGCUUUUGAGACUGUUGGACUAGAGUGCAGUAGAGGUAGGUGGAAUUCCAGGUGUAGCGGUGAAAUGCGUAGAGAUUUGGAGGAACACCAGUGGCGAAGGCGGCCUACUGGACUGUAACUGACGCUGAGGUUCGAAAGCGUGGGGAGCAAACAGGAUUAGAUACCCGGGUAGUC
Molecule: ribosomal RNA, 440 nt
Filed under: uncultured bacterium
Lineage: Bacteria
Description: partial 16S ribosomal RNA
Rfam family: Bacterial small subunit ribosomal RNA
Source: RNAcentral